Molecule: ribosomal RNA, 465 nt
Filed under: uncultured bacterium
Lineage: Bacteria
Description: partial 16S ribosomal RNA
Rfam family: Bacterial small subunit ribosomal RNA
Source: RNAcentral
GACGAACGCUGGCGGCGUGCUUAACACAUGCAAGUCGAACGGAAAGGCCCCUUUGGGGGUACUCGAGUGGCGAACGGGUGAGUAACACGUGAGUAACCUGCCCUUGACUUCGGGAUAACUUCAGGAAACUGGGGCUAAUACCGGAUGGGAAUCCUUGCUGCAUGGUGGGGGUUGGAAAGCUUCGGCGGUUUUGGAUGGACUCGCGGCUUAUCAGCUUGUUGGUGGGGUAGUGGCUUACCAAGGCUUUGACGGGUAGCCGGCCUGAGAGGGCGACCGGCCACAUUGGGACUGAGAUACGGCCCAGACUCCUACGGGAGGCAGCAGUGGGGAAUAUUGCACAAUGGGCGGAAGCCUGAUGCAGCAACGCCGCGUGCGGGAUGACGGCCUUCGGGUUGUAAACCGCUUUCAGCAGGGGCGAAGCUUGUGGUGACGGUACCUGCAGAAGAAGCACCGGCUAACUACGUG